Molecule: unclassified non-coding RNA, 520 nt
Filed under: uncultured Glomus
Lineage: Eukaryota; Fungi; Glomeromycota; Glomeromycetes; Glomerales; Glomeraceae
Description: SSU rRNA
Rfam family: Eukaryotic small subunit ribosomal RNA
Source: RNAcentral
AGCAGCCGCGGUAAUUCCAGCUCCAAUAGCGUAUAUUAAAGUUGCUGCAGUUAAAAAGCUCGUAGUUGAAUUUCGGGACUAAUAUGUCGGUCGUGCCUCGGUACGUACUGGCUUAUUGGUUUCUCCUUUCUGAAGAACCAUGAUGUCAUUUAUUUGGUGUCGUGGGGAAUCAGGACUGUUACUUUGAAAAAAUUAGAGUGUUUAAAGCAGGCUCACGCUUGAAUACAUUAGCAUGGAAUAAUGAAAUAGGACGUUUGAUUCUAUUUUGUUGGUUUCUAGGAUCGACGUAAUGAUUAAUAGGGAUAGUUGGGGGCAUUAGUAUUCAAUUGUCAGAGGUGAAAUUCUUGGAUUUAUUGAAGACUAACUACUGCGAAAGCAUUUGCCAAGGAUGUUUUCAUUAAUCAAGAACGAAAGUUAGGGGAUCGAAGACGAUCAGAUACCGUCGUAGUCUUAACCAUAAACUAUGCCGACUAGGGAUCGGAUGAUGUUAAUUUUUUAAUGUACUCAUUCGGCGCCUUAA